This 256-nucleotide ribosomal RNA is filed under the name uncultured bacterium. RNAcentral describes it as "partial 16S ribosomal RNA". It matches the Rfam family "Bacterial small subunit ribosomal RNA", at positions 524 to 776 of the family's 1533-position model. The record is from RNAcentral.
UACGUAGGGCGCAAGCGUUUGUCCGGAAUUAUUGGGCGUAAAGAGCUCGUAGGCGGUUUGUCGCGUCUGCUGUGAAAACCUCAGGCUCAACCUGGGGCUUGCAGUGGGUACGGGCAGACUAGAGUGUGGUAGGGGAUGACUGGAAUUCCUGGUGUAGCGGUGGAAUGCGCAGAUAUCAGGAGGAACACCGAUGGCGAAGGCAGGUCACUGGGCCGAACUGACGUCUGGAGAAGCGAAAGCAUGGGGAGCGAACAGG